RNAcentral lists this ribosomal RNA (253 nucleotides) under uncultured bacterium. RNAcentral's name for it is "partial 16S ribosomal RNA". It matches the Rfam family "Bacterial small subunit ribosomal RNA", at positions 524 to 776 of the family's 1533-position model. The record is from RNAcentral.
UACGUAGGGUGCAAGCGUUAAUCGGAAUUACUGGGCGUAAAGCGUGCGCAGGCGGUUCUCCAAGUCCGUUGUGAAAGCCCCGGGCUUAACCUGGGAACUGCAUUUGUGACUGCAUAGCUAGAGUACGGUAGAGGGGGAUGGAAUUCCGCGUGUAGCAGUGAAAUGCGUAGAUAUGCGGAGGAACACCGAUGGCGAAGGCAAUCCCCUGGACCUGUACUGACGCUCAUGCACGAAAGCGUGGGGAGCAAACAGG